RNAcentral lists this ribosomal RNA (54 nucleotides) under uncultured bacterium. RNAcentral's name for it is "partial 16S ribosomal RNA". The record is from RNAcentral.
UAACCGCCAACGGAGGGCGAGGCGCCGAGGGUGGGGAUUGGUAACUGGUAGGCG